AUUUGUUUGUGGAAAAGCUCUCAGGUUAAGCAGUUAUUGCGACAUUGAAGCAUCAAUCUGGAUUAUGUGCAAAAGAAUACAAGAAAAUGGCUGAGAAUAGUGAUUGAACCUUGUGAACCUGUGCUGCUGCUUUGCAGAAUUAAGCUGAAAUCCAAAGAGGAGAGAUCUGCUCUCAAAACAAGACAAAGAGAAUUAAGGUCUGUUGAUCUUCCAAUGUCCACAAAAAUAAAUGAAAACUUAUUAUAUGUAAUCUUCUUCAGCUGGAUCCCCACUCAGUAAUACGUAAAGUAUGCUUGGAACCACUCCACUCAGUGCUCUCCCCUAAAUCCAAACUAUCCAUAUCAUUAGGUGUCCCUAACAAAUGAAAAAGGACUACUGCCUGACUUAAGCAGGCAUGCUGCUACCCAGAAUUCUACCCUUUGGACAAUAGGGACAACCAAAUAUAUUGAGGAAUAGGGUGGUAUAUCAAUCACUAUUUCUUUUGUAGCAUCACUGUCCCAUUGCCAUAAAGUUAGCAGGUUCCAUAAUGUAACAGCCUUGUGAUACAAUGACCAGGACAAGUGAAUGAGACAAAUCACCUAUUUAGUUAUUCUCCUCUUGCAAUUUUUGAUAACCUGAAAAUUCAAAUCCUAAAACUAGCUUUCAGAUUAUGACAAUCAAGAUUCCAAAAUGUAUAGUUAGAAACAGGCUUUAAAGUUAGACAAACAUAAAUUGAUAAAUUGGUUAAAUAAGGUUAAAAUGAAAAUGGAGGCUCGGAGAUCAACUACAGAAGGGAAGAGAAUGAUGCAAUAAGAAGGAUAAAACAGCAGAGUACAGUUUUUAAAAUGUUUUAGUCACUUAUUGGGUUUCCACCCACGACUACAGAAAAUGAUUAUUUUAUUUAUUAUUUUAUAAAAAUAUUUUAUAAUAUUUAUAAUAAUCAAUUGUAUUAGCCCGAAUCAAAAUUAAUUGGCAGGAUCGCUUGUUUUUAAUUCCUUUACACAUUGUCAAUGACCUGCCUUAUUACUUCAAGGUUAAUUUAAAACAUGACUGCAUUAAUUCAUUGUUAAUUAAAGAAUGGAAAGCUACCUUACUGGCCAGUUGAAGAAAUUCUGCAUAUGAAUGGGGGAUAGGGAUAGAUAUAUAUACAUAUAGUAGAUGGAACUCCCAAAAUCUGGGGAGGUAACUGU
This is a non-coding RNA of Chiloscyllium plagiosum (whitespotted bambooshark), 1169 nucleotides long. NCBI's taxonomy places the organism in Eukaryota, Metazoa, Chordata, Chondrichthyes, Orectolobiformes, Hemiscylliidae. The record is from RefSeq and is a predicted model, not a curated record.